Long non-coding RNA from Dermacentor albipictus, 1095 nucleotides. RefSeq lists it as uncharacterized. The record is from RefSeq and is a predicted model, not a curated record. NCBI's taxonomy places the organism in Eukaryota, Metazoa, Arthropoda, Arachnida, Ixodida, Ixodidae.
UGUUCGUUCGCAUGCUGCAUUGUUACUGUUUUGAAAAGUGCGGAUUUUUUCUUCGGUUUGAGAAAUUUCGAUGUCACAGCAGACCUGGCUUUAGCAUCCGUCACGGACUUCACAAAGAGACAAUCAGGGACGCCAUUUCAGACCCAGCAAAUUUGGAUGUCAGCAGAAUAAAAGUCUUGCUGGAGGCAACGCUGGAAGCUCGGCGGAAAAGCCCGGAGAAUGAACUUCCUGUGUACUUUCUAAACCCAGACGUGCUUGCACUUGAGGCCGAACUGAGGUUUGAAGCUUCUUAUGAAGACAUGCUAGCCAAGCUUCAACAUAUUCGAAAGAUGCUGGUUCGAACGAGCUUCAUCGAGAUUGACGAGUACCUUCGGCCAAAAAAAGCUGAAUUUGCCCUGAUCUCAUUGGAGACACAUGAACGAGGUGUGCCUAUUCCUGGCCCUUGUAUCAUCGCCCAAGAUGGACACAAAGUCGUCUGCAAGGGCCACACCAUUGAUCUGGCUGCGGGAUCAUCACUGGAGCAUGCUUUAAUCAUUUGCGUAACACUUUAUUUUAUCUUGGAUAUCACGUACCCAAAUGCAUUUGGUCAAACUUUGGGUUUGGUCCAGACAGCAUUAGCUAAGAGGGAGCCUUCUCCACGCUGCUUGAUGUCACACAAACUUACGCCGUGUUUAAAACAGUUGAAACAUCCUGCAAGAACUCGUUAGCAGAUGAGAUGCUGUAUGUAAGAUCUCCUUUUUUCUUUGAGCACAAACAAUGCAAAGAGGUAGCAGUGACUCACACAAACCUACAACCUAAAGGACAGCUUUUGGGUUUGGUAGUUCUAAAAACGCAUUGCUUAAAGUUGUGGCCAGUCAUAACAGCUUUGCUUUAAGCAUGUACACGCAUUGUCACCACAUUUAGGGCAACUGUUUAUUGGUCUAUUUUCUUUUUUGACUUUGGGCGACAAAUGAUAGGUGUGAUUUUUUGCAAGUGUAUGCGGCAUACUCAAAGCGAUACUGUUGCACUUUGUAGAAAAAUGCGUGUUGCUACAGUGAGGCAUAACAACACUUAUGAGGCUCGCAUUAAAAACACUACUCUUUCUAGAUUAAAAAA